CAGUCGCCGCGGUAAUACGUAGGGUGCGAGCGUUAAUCGGAUUUACUGGGCGUAAAGCGUGCGCAGGCGGCCCGUUAAGGCAGGUGUGAAAUCCCUGGGCUCAACCUAGGAAUUGCGCUUGUGACUGGCGGGCUCGAGUACGGUAGAGGGGGGUGGAAUUCCUGGUGUAGCAGUGAAAUGCGUAGAGAUUAGGAGGAACACCGAUGGCGAAGGCAGCCCCCUGGGCCUGUACUGACGCUCAUGCACGAAAGCGUGGGGAGCAAACAGGAUUAGAUACCCCCGUAGUCCCUGUCUCUUAUAC
RNAcentral lists this ribosomal RNA (301 nucleotides) under uncultured bacterium. RNAcentral's name for it is "partial 16S ribosomal RNA". It matches the Rfam family "Bacterial small subunit ribosomal RNA", at positions 509 to 807 of the family's 1533-position model. The record is from RNAcentral.